GCGGCGCAUUAGCUAGUUGGUAGGGUAACGGCCUACCAAGGCGACGAUGCGUAGCCGACCUGAGAGGGUGAUCGGCCACAUUGGAACUGAGAGACGGUCCAGACUCCUACGGGAGGCAGCAGUGGGGAAUAUUGCACAAUGGGCGAAAGCCUGAUGCAGCAACGCCGCGUGAGUGAAGAAGGUUUUCGGAUUGUAAAGCUCUGUCUUUGGGGACGAUAAUGACGGUACCCAAGGAGGAAGCCACGGCUAACUACGUGCCAGCAGCCGCGGUAAUACGUAGGUGGCGAGCGUUGUCCGGAAUUACUGGGCGUAAAGAGUGCGUAGGCGGAUAUUUAAGUGAGAUGUGAAAUACCCGGGCUUAACCCGGGCACUGCAUUUCAAACUGGAUAUCUAGAGUGCGGGAGAGGAGAAUGGAAUUCCUAGUGUAGCGGUGAAAUGCGUAGAGAUUAGGAAGAACACCAGUGGCGAAGGCGAUUCUCUGGACCGUAACUGACGCUGAGGCACGAAAGCGUGGGUAGCAAACAGGAUUAGAUACCCUGGUAGUCCACGCCGUAAACGAUGAGUACUAGGUGUAGGAGGUAUCGACCCCUUCUGUGCCGCAGUAAACACAAUAAGUACUCCGCCUGGGAAGUACGAUCGCAAGAUUAAAACUCAAAGGAAUUGACGGGGGCCCGCACAAGCAGCGGAGCAUGUGGUUUAAUUCGAAGCAACGCGAAGAACCUUACCUGGACUUGACAUACCCUGAAUAUCUUAGAGAUAAGAG
RNAcentral lists this ribosomal RNA (763 nucleotides) under Clostridium ljungdahlii DSM 13528. RNAcentral's name for it is "bacterial SSU rRNA". It matches the Rfam family "Bacterial small subunit ribosomal RNA", at positions 233 to 1012 of the family's 1533-position model. The record is from RNAcentral. Lineage: Bacteria; Bacillati; Bacillota; Clostridia; Eubacteriales; Clostridiaceae.